GAGGGUAUAGCUCAGUGGUAGAGUGCAUACCUAGCAUGCACGAGGUCCUGGGUUCAAUCCCCAGUACCACCA
RNAcentral lists this transfer RNA (72 nucleotides) under Camelus bactrianus (Bactrian camel). It matches the Rfam family "tRNA". From Rfam's summary of the family: Transfer RNA (tRNA) molecules are approximately 80 nucleotides in length. Their secondary structure includes four short double-helical elements and three loops (D, anti-codon, and T loops). RNAcentral also lists the same sequence under 2 other names. Lineage: Eukaryota; Metazoa; Chordata; Mammalia; Artiodactyla; Camelidae. The record is from Rfam by way of RNAcentral.